AAGACUAUACUUUUAGGGAUCAUUUCUAUAGUUUGUAAACUGUCCCUCCUCCUUGUUUGGUUAUAAUCACUACUUUAGGCAUAAG
RNAcentral lists this small nucleolar RNA (85 nucleotides) under Erinaceus europaeus (western European hedgehog). Its description in RNAcentral is "Small nucleolar RNA U3 (ENSEEUG00000023771.1)". The record is from RNAcentral. Lineage: Eukaryota; Metazoa; Chordata; Mammalia; Eulipotyphla; Erinaceidae.